AAGCGUAAUAGCUCACUGGUCGAGUCGGCCUGCGCGGAAGAUGUAACGGGGCUAAACCAUGCACCGAAGCUGCGGCAGCGACGCUUAUGCGUUGUUGGGUAGGGGAGCGUUCUGUAAGCCUGUGAAGGUGUGCUGUGAGGCAUGCUGGAGGUAUCAGAAGUGCGAAUGCUGACAUAAGUAACGAUAAAGCGGGUGAAAAGCCCGCUCGCCGGAAGACCAAGGGUUCCUGUCCAACGUUAAUCGGGGCAGGGUGAGUCGACCCCUAAGGCGAGGCCGAAAGGCGUAGUCGAUGGGAAACAGGUUAAUAUUCCUGUACUUGGUGUUACUGCGAAGGGGGGACGGAGAAGGCUAUGUUGGCCGGGCGACGGUUGUCCCGGUUUAAGCGUGUAGGCUGGUUUUCCAGGCAAAUCCGGAAAAUCAAGGCUGAGGCGUGAUGACGAGGCACUACGGUGCUGAAGCAACAAAUGCCCUGCUUCCAGGAAAAGCCUCUAAGCAUCAGGUAACAUCAAAUCGUACCCCAAACCGACACAGGUGGUCAGGUAGAGAAUACCAAGGCGCUUGAGAGAACUCGGGUGAAGGAACUAGGCAAAAUGGUGCCGUAACUUCGGGAGAAGG
Molecule: ribosomal RNA, 615 nt
Filed under: Escherichia coli
Lineage: Bacteria; Pseudomonadati; Pseudomonadota; Gammaproteobacteria; Enterobacterales; Enterobacteriaceae
Description: partial 23S ribosomal RNA
Rfam family: Bacterial large subunit ribosomal RNA
Source: RNAcentral